RNAcentral lists this ribosomal RNA (495 nucleotides) under uncultured bacterium. RNAcentral describes it as "partial 16S ribosomal RNA". It matches the Rfam family "Bacterial small subunit ribosomal RNA", at positions 28 to 507 of the family's 1533-position model. The record is from RNAcentral.
GACGAACGCUGGCGGCGUGCCUAAUACAUGCAAGUAGAACGCUGAAGGAGGAGCUUGCUCUUCUGGAUGAGUUGCGAACGGGUGAGUAACGCGUAGGUAACCUGCCUGGUAGCGGGGGAUAACUAUUGGAAACGAUAGCUAAUACCGCAUAACAGUAGAUGUUGCAUGACAUUUACUUAAAAGGUGCAAUUGCAUCACUACCAGAUGGACCUGCGUUGUAUUAGCUAGUUGGUGGGGUAACGGCUCACCAAGGCGACGAUACAUAGCCGACCUGAGAGGGGGAUCGGCCAAACUGGGACUGAGACACGGCCCAGACUCCUACGGGAGGCAGCCGUAGGGAAUCUUCGGGAAUGGACGGAAGGCUGAACGGGCAACGCCGGGGGAGUGAAGAAGGGUUUCGGAUCGGAAAGCUCCGUUGUAAGAGAAGAAAGAGUGUGAGAGUGGAAAGUUCACACUGUGACGGUAUCUUACCAGAAAGGGACGGCUAACUACGUG